UCCUGCCAGUAGUCAUACGCUCGUCUCAAAGAUUAAGCCAUGCAUGUGUAAGUAUAAAUAAUUCUACUUUGAAACUGCGAAUGGCUCAUUAUAUCAGUUAUAGUUUAUUAGAAAGAAUGUACUACUUGGAUAACCGUAGUAAUUCUAGGGCUAAUACAUGAAUGAAUCCUCGACUUUGAAGAGGUGUGUUUAUUAGUAUGAAAACCAUAUGCUUUGGCAUAAUAGUGAGUAAUAAUAACCUUUCAUAUCGUAUGUUGAUAUAACGAUAGUUCUUUCAAGUUUCUGCCCUAUCAGCUUUCGAUGGUAGUGUAUUGGACUACCAUGGCAGUAACGGGUAACGAAGAAUUUGGGUUCGAUUUCGGAGAGGGAGCCUGAGAGAUGGCUACCACAUCCAAGGAAGGCAGCAGGCGCGUAAAUUACCCAAUCCUGACAUAGGGAGGUAGUGACAAUAAAUCACAAUGCGGGACUAUUUAGUUUUGCAAUUGGAUUGAGAACAAUGUACAAGAGUUAUCGAUAAACAAUUGGAGGGCAAGUCUGGUGCCAGCAGCCGCGGUAAUUCCAGCUCCA
RNAcentral lists this ribosomal RNA (567 nucleotides) under Blastocystis sp. Its description in RNAcentral is "SSU rRNA". It matches the Rfam family "Eukaryotic small subunit ribosomal RNA", at positions 12 to 593 of the family's 1831-position model. Lineage: Eukaryota; Bigyra; Opalinata; Blastocystidae. The record is from RNAcentral.